Molecule: small RNA, 690 nt
Filed under: Pan troglodytes (chimpanzee)
Lineage: Eukaryota; Metazoa; Chordata; Mammalia; Primates; Hominidae
Description: retained intron
Source: RNAcentral
GUUGUCUCACCUGCAGUGAUGUGUACCGUACCAAGGGCCAGCUGGCCAACUUCCAGGAGAUGCUGGAGAACAUCUUCCUGCCACUGUUCGAGGCCACUGUGCACCCUGCCAGCCACCCAGAACUGCAUCUCUUCUUAGAGCACGUGGAUGGUUUUGACAGCGUGGAUGAUGAGUCCAAGCCUGAAAACCAUGUCUUCAACCUGGAGAGCCCCCUGCCUGAGGCGUGGGUGGAGGAGGACAACCCACCCUAUGCCUACUACCUGUACUACACCUUUGCCAACAUGGCCAUGUUGAACCACCUGCGCAGGCCCCCGUCCUGCAGUACCUGUACUACCUGGCCCAGAUCGGCAUCGCCAUGUCUCCGCUCAGCAACAACAGCCUCUUCCUCAGCUAUCACCGGAAUCCGCUACCGGAGUACCUGUCCCGCGGCCUCAUGGUCUCCCUGUCCACUGAUGAUCCCUUGCAGUUCCACUUCACCAAGGAGCCGCUGAUGGAGGAGUACAGCAUCGCCACCCAGGUGUGGAAGCUCAGCUCCUGCGAUAUGUGUGAGCUGGCCCGCAACAGCGUGCUCAUGAGCGGCUUCUCGCACAAGGUAAAGAGCCACUGGCUGGGACCCAACUAUACCAAGGAAGGCCCUGAGGGGAAUGACAUCCGCCGGACCAAUGUGCCAGACAUCCGCGUGGGCUACCG